CCUACGGGAGGCAGCAGUGGGGAAUCUUGCGCAAUGGGCGAAAGCCUGACGCAGCCAUGCCGCGUGAAUGAUGAAGGUCUUAGGAUUGUAAAAUUCUUUCAGUAGGGACGAUAAUGACGGUACCUACAGAAGAAGCCCCGGCUAACUUCGUGCCAGCAGCCGCGGUAAUACGAAGGGGGCUAGCGUUGCUCGGAAUUACUGGGCGUAAAGGGAGCGUAGGCGGGUUAUCAAGUUGGAGGUGAAAGCCCAGGGCUCAACCUUGGAAUUGCCUUCAAAACUGAUAGCCUAGAGUAUGAUAGAGGUAUGUGGAACUCCGAGUGUAGAGGUGAAAUUCGUAGAUAUUCGGAAGAACACCAGUGGCGAAGGCGACAUACUGGGUCAUGACUGACGCUGAGGCUCGAAAGCGUGGGGAGCAAACAGGAUUAGAUACCCUGGUAGUCCACGCUGUAAACGAUGAUUGCUAGUUGUCGGACGGCAUGCCGUUCGGUGACGCAGCUAACGCAUUAAGCAAUCCGCCUGGGGGAGGUACGGUCGCGAAGAAUAAACUAACAAAGAAGUAAGUAGACGUGAGAGACGCGACGACGACGACGACGGAGGAGGAG
RNAcentral lists this ribosomal RNA (602 nucleotides) under uncultured bacterium. RNAcentral's name for it is "bacterial SSU rRNA". The stretch from base 1 to 517 matches the Rfam family "Bacterial small subunit ribosomal RNA", at positions 338 to 873 of the family's 1533-position model. The record is from RNAcentral.